CCUUCCUCCGCCUUGCCCAUGGCGGCAUCGCCCUUGAUGCCACUAUCGGAAUAAUCCCAUUUCAUAUUCUCGAUCUCCACGUCAUCCGUAGACAUUUUCAUGAACGCAGCACUGCUAAUAGAAAUCCAAUGGACAACAUUGCAGUUCAGUUCAAAUUUCAAAAAAAUAAAAAAUAAAUAAAUAAAUUCAAAACUUUAUUAUCUGCAAAUAGAAAAGUUCAUAAAGGCCGAUUGAUUACAGAACCCUAAAUGUCUUCAGUAUCAAUAAAGAGCUGAAAAACUUGUAAGCCAGUCCAAAUUAAACAUAGAAUAAACAGAUUACCUCUCAAAAGCUGUUAUAGAUUCUGUCAAGCUCCCAUUUCUAUCAAAAUCGUCGUUUCCGUUUACCUGCAUAAAAAUUAUUCUGUCUAAAAAAUGGAACCACCCGAGCUAUAAUAAACCAAAACAGUGAAAACCCACAAAGUAAUUCAAAUUCCCAAGCCCAAAUAAACAACAAAAAUCCUUUGAUUCGCAUUUUCUAAUCAACCCUAAUGGUGGGUUUUAAGAAAACCCUAGAAGAAAAAAGAAUAACAGCAAAAAUGAAGGAACAUUAGGCAAGAAUCACAAAUGGAUUUUAACAGAUCUGUCUAUAGAACCAAAACGGAGUCAGUAUAGACUAAAU
RNAcentral lists this long non-coding RNA (660 nucleotides) under Olea europaea (common olive). RNAcentral's name for it is "long non-coding RNA (OEUR_LNC001432)". Lineage: Eukaryota; Viridiplantae; Streptophyta; Magnoliopsida; Lamiales; Oleaceae. The record is from RNAcentral.